RNAcentral lists this small RNA (147 nucleotides) under Macaca mulatta (Rhesus monkey). Its description in RNAcentral is "Metazoan signal recognition particle RNA (ENSMMUG00000055279.1)". It matches the Rfam family "Metazoan signal recognition particle RNA". From Rfam's summary of the family: The signal recognition particle (SRP) is a universally conserved ribonucleoprotein. It is involved in the co-translational targeting of proteins to membranes. Lineage: Eukaryota; Metazoa; Chordata; Mammalia; Primates; Cercopithecidae. The record is from Rfam by way of RNAcentral.
GCUGGGUGUGGUGGUGUGCACCUGUAGUCUUAGCUACUGAGAGGCUGAGGCAGGAGGAUUGCUCGAGCCCAGGAGUUUGAGGCUGCAGUGAGCUAUUAUCUCACCUCUGUACUCUAGCCUGGGUGACAGAGCCAGACCCUGUCCCUU